AGGAGCAGUCAUACACAUGCAAGUCGAGCGGAUGACGGGAGCUUGCUCCUUGAUUCAGCGGCGGACGGGUGAGUAAUGCCUAGGAAUCUGCCUGGUAGUGGGGGACAACUUUUCGAAAGGAACGCUAAUACCGCACACGUCCUACGGGAGAAAGCAGGGGACCUUCGGGCCUUGCGCUAUCAGAUGAGCCUAGGUCGGAUUAACUAGUUGGUGGGGUAAUGGCUCACCAAGGCGACGAUCCGUAACUGGUCUGAGAGGAUGAUCAGUCACACUGGAACUGAGACACGGUCCAGACUCCUACGGGAGGCAGCAGUGGGGAAUAUUGGACAAUGGGCGAAAGCCUGAUCCAGCCAUGCCGCGUGUGUGAAGAAGGUCUUCGGAUUGUAAAGCACUUUAAGUUGGGAGGAAGGGCAGUAAGUUAAUACCUUGCUGUUUUGACGUUACCGACAGAAUAAGCACCGGCUAACUCUGUGCCAGCAGCCGCGGUAAUACAGAGGGUGCAAGCGUUAAUCGGAAUUACUGGGCGUAAAGCGCGCGUAGGUGGUUUGUUAAGUUGGAUGUGAAAGCCCCGGGCUCAACCUGGGAACCUGCAUCAAAAAACUGGCAAGCUAGAGUACGGUAGAGGGUGGUGGAAUUUCCUGUGUAGCGGUGAAAUGCGUAGAUAUAGGAAGGAACACCAGUGGCGAAGGCGACCACCUGGACUAAUAUGAACUAUGAUAGUGCGAAAGCGUGGGGAGCAAACAGGAUGAUAUACCCUGGUAGUCCACGCCGUAAACGAUGUCAACUACCCGUUGGAAUCCUUGAGAUUUUAGUGGCGCAGCUAACGCAUUAAGUUGACCGCCUGGGGAGUACUGCCGCAAGGUUAAAACUCAAAUGAUUUGACGGGGGCCGCACAGCGGUGGAGCAUGGUGGUUUUAUUUCUAGCAGCGCGAGACCUUUACUCACGUCUUAGACGUGCAGAGACUUUCCAGAGAUGGAUUGGUGCCUUCGGGACUCUGACACAGUGCUGCAUGCUGUCGUCAGCUCGUGUCGUGAGAAUGUUGGGUAGUCCCGUACGAGCGCACCCUCGUCUAGUACUAGCACGUAUGGUGGGCAUCUAGGAGACUGCAGUGAAAACCGGGGAAGAGAGGUGGGAUGACCUCAGUCUCUAUGGCUUACGGUCUGGGCCUCACACUGCUCAAUGUCGGUACGAGGUUGCCAGCGGAGGUCACUAUCUCAAAACGACUGAUCGGGAUGCGAUUGGAACCUGAACUGCUGGGUAGG
Molecule: ribosomal RNA, 1263 nt
Filed under: Pseudomonas putida
Lineage: Bacteria; Pseudomonadati; Pseudomonadota; Gammaproteobacteria; Pseudomonadales; Pseudomonadaceae
Description: bacterial SSU rRNA
Rfam family: Bacterial small subunit ribosomal RNA
Source: RNAcentral